UACGUAGGGGGCUAGCGUUAUCCGGAAUUACUGGGCGUAAAGGGUGCGUAGGUGGUUUCUUAAGUCAGAGGUGAAAGGCUACGGCUCAACCGUAGUAAGCCUUUGAAACUGGGGAACUUGAGUGCAGGAGAGGAGAGUGGAAUUCCUAGUGUAGCGGUGAAAUGCGUAGAUAUUAGGAGGAACACCAGUUGCGAAGGCGGCUCUCUGGACUGUAACUGACGCUGAGGUUCGAAAGCGUGGGUAGCAAACAGG
This 252-nucleotide ribosomal RNA is filed under the name uncultured bacterium. RNAcentral describes it as "partial 16S ribosomal RNA". It matches the Rfam family "Bacterial small subunit ribosomal RNA", at positions 524 to 776 of the family's 1533-position model. The record is from RNAcentral.